Molecule: ribosomal RNA, 218 nt
Filed under: uncultured bacterium
Lineage: Bacteria
Description: partial 16S ribosomal RNA
Rfam family: Bacterial small subunit ribosomal RNA
Source: RNAcentral
GCAAGUCGAGCGCCCCUCACGGGGAGCGGCAGACGGGUGAGUAACGCGUGGGAAUCUACCCAACCCUGCGGAAUAGCUCCGGGAAACUGGAAUUAAUACCGCAUACGCCCUACGGGGGAAAGAUUUAUCGGGGAUGGAUGAGCCCGCGUUGGAUUAGCUAGUUGGUGGGGUAAAGGCCUACCAAGGCGACGAUCCAUAGCUGGUCUGAGAGGAUGAUC